Molecule: ribosomal RNA, 273 nt
Filed under: uncultured bacterium
Lineage: Bacteria
Description: partial 16S ribosomal RNA
Rfam family: Bacterial small subunit ribosomal RNA
Source: RNAcentral
CCGCCGGCGACCGGCGCACGGGUGAGUAACACGUAUGCAACCUGGCCGUGACAGAUGGAUAACCGGGAGAAAUCCCGCCUAAUACAACAUAAUGCCGGGAGGGGACAUCCCCUGCCGGCCAAAGGGGGCGACCCCGGUCACGGAUGGGCAUGCGGCGCAUUAGGUAGUUGGUGGGGCAACGGCCCACCAAGCCGACGAUGCGUGGGGGUUCUGAGAGGAAGGUCCCCCACAUUGGAACUGAGACACGGUCCAAACUCCUACGGAAGGCAGCAG